GGGGAUUAAGCUCAGUGGUAGAGCACUUGCCUAGCAAGCACAAGGCCCUGGGUUCGGUCCCCAGCUCCG
Molecule: transfer RNA, 69 nt
Filed under: Rattus norvegicus (Norway rat)
Lineage: Eukaryota; Metazoa; Chordata; Mammalia; Rodentia; Muridae
Rfam family: tRNA
About the family: Transfer RNA (tRNA) molecules are approximately 80 nucleotides in length. Their secondary structure includes four short double-helical elements and three loops (D, anti-codon, and T loops).
Source: Rfam by way of RNAcentral